RNAcentral lists this ribosomal RNA (724 nucleotides) under Enterobacter hormaechei. RNAcentral's name for it is "bacterial SSU rRNA". It matches the Rfam family "Bacterial small subunit ribosomal RNA", at positions 46 to 758 of the family's 1533-position model. Lineage: Bacteria; Pseudomonadati; Pseudomonadota; Gammaproteobacteria; Enterobacterales; Enterobacteriaceae. The record is from RNAcentral.
GCCUUACACAUGCAAGUCGAACGGUAACAGGAAGCAGCUUGCUGCUUCGCUGACGAGUGGCGGACGGGUGAGUAAUGUCUGGGAAACUGCCUGAUGGAGGGGGAUAACUACUGGAAACGGUAGCUAAUACCGCAUAACGUCGCAAGACCAAAGAGGGGGACCUUCGGGCCUCUUGCCAUCGGAUGUGCCCAGAUGGGAUUAGCUAGUAGGUGGGGUAACGGCUCACCUAGGCGACGAUCCCUAGCUGGUCUGAGAGGAUGACCAGCCACACUGGAACUGAGACACGGUCCAGACUCCUACGGGAGGCAGCAGUGGGGAAUAUUGCACAAUGGGCGCAAGCCUGAUGCAGCCAUGCCGCGUGUAUGAAGAAGGCCUUCGGGUUGUAAAGUACUUUCAGCGGGGAGGAAGGCGAUAAGGUUAAUAACCUUGUCGAUUGACGUUACCCGCAGAAGAAGCACCGGCUAACUCCGUGCCAGCAGCCGCGGUAAUACGGAGGGUGCAAGCGUUAAUCGGAAUUACUGGGCGUAAAGCGCACGCAGGCGGUCUGUCAAGUCGGAUGUGAAAUCCCCGGGCUCAACCUGGGAACUGCAUUCGAAACUGGCAGGCUAGAGUCUUGUAGAGGGGGGUAGAAUUCCAGGUGUAGCGGUGAAAUGCGUAGAGAUGCUGGAGGAAUACCGGUGGCGAAGGCGGCCCCCUGGACAAAGACUGACGCUCAGGUGCGAAA